ACUGAGUGGCGGACGGGUGAGUAACGCGUGGGUAACCUGCCUCAUACAGGGGGAUAACAGUUAGAAAUGACUGCUAAUACCGCAUAAGACCACAGCACCGCAUGGUGCAGGGGUAAAAACUCCGGUGGUAUGAGAUGGACCCGCGUCUGAUUAGGUAGUUGGUGGGGUAACGGCCUACCAAGCCGACGAUCAGUAGCCGACCUGAGAGGGUGACCGGCCACAUUGGGACUGAGACACGGCCCAAACCCCUACGGGAGGCAGCAGUGGGGAAUAUUGCACAAUGGGGGAAACCCUGAUGCAGCGACGCCGCGUGAGCGAUGAAGUAUUUCGGUAUGUAAAGCUCUAUCAGCAGGGAAGAAAAUGACGGUACCUGACUAAGAAGCACCGGCUAAAUACGUGCCAGCAGCCGCGGUAAUACGUAUGGUGCAAGCGUUAUCCGGAUUUACUGGGUGUAAAGGGAGCGUAGACGGAGUGACAAGUCUGAUGUGAAAACCCGGGGCUCAACCCCGGGACUGCAUUGGAAACUGUCAAUCUAGAGUACCGGAGAGGUAAGCGGAAUUCCUAGUGUAGCGGUGAAAUGCGUAGAUAUUAGGAGGAACACCAGUGGCGAAGGCGGCUUACUGGACGGUAACUGACGUUGAGGCUCGAAAGCGUGGGGAGCAAACAGGAUUAGAUACCCUGGUAGUCCACGCCGUAAACGAUGACUACUAGGUGUCGGGC
RNAcentral lists this ribosomal RNA (720 nucleotides) under uncultured bacterium. Its description in RNAcentral is "bacterial SSU rRNA". It matches the Rfam family "Bacterial small subunit ribosomal RNA", at positions 90 to 828 of the family's 1533-position model. The record is from RNAcentral.